Sphaerodactylus townsendi is the source of this 437-nucleotide long non-coding RNA. RefSeq lists it as uncharacterized. Lineage: Eukaryota; Metazoa; Chordata; Lepidosauria; Squamata; Sphaerodactylidae. The transcript is spliced from 3 exons. The record is from RefSeq and is a predicted model, not a curated record.
GUUGAAGUCCCCAAUGGGGUGGGUAGAUAAGCGAGCAAGAAGCUGAGCAGCUGUAGAGGUUCUGAAUUCAAGAUUCCUGUGUGAUUAUGGCAUCUCAGAUUCCUAGACUGCUUUCUUACGAGUUGAUUCCCCUUCAUUCCAUGGCAGUCAUAGAGGGUCACUGCGCUGUUUUGGGAAACAGCAUCAAAACAGAAUUUCUUUGUGUGCUGGGGAUCUCCUGGACGGAUGUCUUCUCGCCAGCUGAAUGUGAAAACCUGGUUGGACAGACAAACCCUCAGAAAACCAGUUGGAGACAAAAACACAAUCUUUAUAUCUAUCCACCUUUCAUAAGCUCAAUGUGAAUAAUAACAUACUACAUUCUAAUUUCAUAGUAAUACCCAUAGUAAAACCCACUUGCGUUUAAGGCACAAAACUGAAUGCCGUGGCGUAGCGCCCAC